CAAGGAAUAGUUUAAUAAAGAAUGUCAGCUUUGGGUGUUGAUGGUGGAGUUAUUGCUUCUUCCUUGA
Molecule: transfer RNA, 67 nt
Filed under: Solenodon paradoxus paradoxus
Lineage: Eukaryota; Metazoa; Chordata; Mammalia; Eulipotyphla; Solenodontidae
Also listed under: 1 other name
Description: tRNA-Pro
Source: RNAcentral